CAGGACUCGCAAGACUCCUUAAACCCCUGUGAACUUACUGUUUAUACGGUUGCUUCGGCGGGUGCUCCGGGGUCCGCCCCGGGGCGCUGCGCCCGCCGGCAGCCUACUUAAUUCCGUUUCUCUGCGUUGGCAUCUCGAGUAAGCAAAAUAAGUUA
Molecule: unclassified non-coding RNA, 155 nt
Filed under: soil metagenome
Description: partial internal transcribed spacer 1
Source: RNAcentral